ACGAACGCUGGCGGCGUGCCUAAUACAUGCAAGUCGAGCGGACUGAUUAAGAGCUUGCUCUUAUGACGUUAGCGGCGGACGGGUGAGUAACACGUGGGCAACCUGCCCUGUAGAUCGGGAUAACACCGAGAAAUCGGUGCUAAUACCGGGUAAUAUCUGAGAUCACAUGAUCUUAGGUUAAAAGAUGGCUCCGGCUAUCACUACAGGAUGGGCCCGCGGCGCAUUAGCUAGUUGGUAAGGUAAUGGCUUACCAAGGCGACGAUGCGUAGCCGACCUGAGAGGGUGAUCGGCCACACUGGGACUGAGACACGGCCCAGACUCCUACGGGAGGCAGCAGUAGGGAAUCUUCCGCAAUGAACGAAAGUCUGACGGAGCAACGCCGCGUGAGUGAUGAAGGGUUUCGGCUCGUAAAGCUCUGUUGUUAGGGAAGAAACAGUACCGAACGAACUAGGUCGGUACCUUGAUGGUACCUAACCAGAAAGCCACGGCUAACUACGUG
Molecule: ribosomal RNA, 499 nt
Filed under: uncultured bacterium
Lineage: Bacteria
Description: partial 16S ribosomal RNA
Rfam family: Bacterial small subunit ribosomal RNA
Source: RNAcentral